CGAGUCACAGCAUUCCAGCCUGGGCUACAAAGCAAGACUGCGUGUCAGAAAAAGAAAAGAAAAAUGGAUUCAAAGAUUUAUCACUGUUAAGUUCCACCAGCAAAUUAUUAAAUGUGGUUCCAAAGGGAUAUUUAAAAAGGGAAAUUAAAAUUGUUUCCAAGAAAGCCCUAUUCACAGCAGAAACGUAGACACUGUACCUGACCUCACCACACAAAGUUCCCUCAUGUGUUGGGAGGGACCAAGGGGCUCUCUGGUCCUGCACCUGCGUUAAUUAUGGCCGGGAGGUCCGCAGUAGGACCCUAAGGGCUAGGAACCAGCCUGGGUCAGGGGCAGAGAAGUGGUGGAUGUGGCUCCCAAAGUGGCUUAGGGGUUCCCUUCCCUGUGGCUGUUUCCUGACUGGAUGCAGCAGGGUCAGGCCUUUCAGUGUGACGUUUUCUACUCUUUAUUAGAGUGGCAGGAGCGUCCCUGUGCGAGGCCUGACCCAGGUGUGGGCCUUGCAGCCAGCUCGGGGUCCAAGGGGCACUCCUGCGGUGCUGCAAAGGAGGAUUUGUGACAACCCAGAGGAUGGAGGAAACGGCGGCUUUGAAAAGGCAAGUGCCAAGUUAUCAGGGAUCGCUUAUAUCCAUUUCUGGCAGUGAACUGACAAUUUCAGACACUCAGGAGGGAGCUUCCCGCGUGGGAUCACAAAAAGUCCGAGAAGUGUCAGACAUCUGGCCAUUAACCCCAUUCCUACGCAGGGACUACACUGCCGCUUGUCCGAAGGGGCGUGUCAGGGGCGGAGCGAGGAUGAGGGGCGGUGCCAAUAAAAGAGGCGGGGGAGAAGGGGCGGUGCUGAGGGGAGAGGCCGGGCCAAGGGAAGAAGCGUGCGAGAAAGGGUGGGGCGAGUCCAGCUACAGGAAGAGUAGCGUUACUAUGGCAACCCUGACAGGUUUGUGAGCAGCCCCCGGUCCCCUGCCGCUCCGUGAGAAAUCAAACUUCAGGCACUGACGAAGCAUGAAGCCAGCAUCUUAGGAAGAGGUAGUGACAUAAUUACAAGGGCGACCGGAUUACAAUCACAGCCAGCAUGAACAUGGGGCGGCGCACAGUCCUGAAGAGGAAAGCCGGGCUGUGUUGACCUCGCUGUGCAUGCUGGGAGUUGUAGUCUCUUCACUGCUCCCGCCCGUUGUUUCAGGCACUUCGGGACUACAAUCCCAGCAUGACCCGGGCUCGGGGACGGGGCGCAGUUCUCGUGGGAGGAGCGGGGCGGUGAGAGCCUGGCUAGGCAGGCUGGAAACAGUAGCUCUUAACGGUCCCCCGCCCGUUGGUGGCAAGGCGGCUGGACUGGAAUCCCAGCAGGCGACAUGCGAGGAGGCGGGCAGCCCAGGAGGGUUGGACACGGCAAUGUGGACCUCGCCGCUUCCACAACGAUGCUGGCUACUGAUCGCGUGCACUUCCUUGCCAAAGAAAAGAAAUUAAUGUUAUGACUGGAUGAAGACAAUUGUGAAGAAACUGCACUUUGAGGUUGUCUAUCUCUGUAUUCUGAUGGAAAAGCGUGGAGUUUAGAAGCACUGCUCACUCCUUCAGUUUCUAACAAGUUUGAGACUAUGGUUAGGUGGUGAGGAAGGCAGGCUCAGCACCCAAGCCUUGGGGAGACGCAGAAAGGGCCCAUCCCAGGCACUCAGGUGGAGCAGGUGGUCUGUCCUAGAGAACGUUCCAUGUGGAUUUGAGAAGAAUAUAUAUUCUCAUGUUGGAUGCAGUGCUGUGCAUAUGUUUGUUAGGUUUAGUUGUUUUAUGUUGUUGUUCAUGUUUUCUAUUUUUUAUCUUCUGUCUACUUGUUCUAUCCAUUAAUAUAAGUGAAGCAUUAAAGUCUCCAACUAUUACUGUUGAAUUA
Molecule: long non-coding RNA, 1870 nt
Filed under: Homo sapiens (human)
Lineage: Eukaryota; Metazoa; Chordata; Mammalia; Primates; Hominidae
Description: HSALNT0341141
Source: RNAcentral